Molecule: ribosomal RNA, 412 nt
Filed under: Nakaseomyces glabratus
Lineage: Eukaryota; Fungi; Ascomycota; Saccharomycetes; Saccharomycetales; Saccharomycetaceae
Description: eukaryotic LSU rRNA
Rfam family: Eukaryotic large subunit ribosomal RNA
Source: RNAcentral
GCCUUAGUACGGCGAGUGAGCGGCAAAGCUCAAAUUUGAAUCUGGUACCUUUGGUGCCCGAGUUGUAAUUUGGAGAGUACCACUUUGGGACUGUACUUUGCCUAUGUUCCUUGGAACAGGACGUCAUGGAGGGUGAGAAUCCCGUGUGGCGAGGGUGUCAGUUCUUUGUAAAGGGUGCUCGAAGAGUCGAGUUGUUUGGGAAUGCAGCUCUAAGUGGGUGGUAAAUUCCAUCUAAAGCUAAAUACAGGCGAGAGACCGAUAGCGAACAAGUACAGUGAUGGAAAGAUGAAAAGAACUUUGAAAAGAGAGUGAAAAAGUACGUGAAAUUGUUGAAAGGGAAGGGCAUUUGAUCAGACAUGGUGUUUUGCGCCCCUUGCCUCUCGUGGGCUUGGGACUCUCGCAGCUCACUGGG